CAGCAAUGGAAAGCUCACAGUGCUCAGGCAGAGAGCCAAAUAAUUACACAUAAGACAACAAAACGCCUGCAGGUGAAGACUUGCCUAGAAAAACUACAGGCACGUUUCCUGACGAUUUCAUCUUCCUGCCUCAUAAAGGUUCUUAGCAUAUGUCAUUCGAAACACACGGCUUACUGCUCUCAGUCAGUCUUAGGAGUAAACAUAAAACACCAAUCUCCUCCUGGAAGGGUGGUAACUAGAAUCUACUAGAUUCCUGUCAGUCCAGAAGAUGCUCUCCUUAGGAUGGGUACAUUUUCUUUCUCCCAAAAUAAGGAUAA
Molecule: non-coding RNA, 317 nt
Organism: Myodes glareolus (Bank vole)
Lineage: Eukaryota; Metazoa; Chordata; Mammalia; Rodentia; Cricetidae
Source: RefSeq, a predicted model, not a curated record